AGGGGGAAAGGCAGAAAAUAAAUACAUAUAAACAAGGAGAGGAUUGGAAAAACACACUAUGUAAUGUAGAAAACAAGGAUAAGGAUAAGGAUAAGGAAAGGAAGUACAAGUUAUUUGCAAAUGUCAUACAUGACAGAUAA
Molecule: long non-coding RNA, 140 nt
Organism: Lacerta agilis (Sand lizard)
Lineage: Eukaryota; Metazoa; Chordata; Lepidosauria; Squamata; Lacertidae
Exons: 3
Source: RefSeq, a predicted model, not a curated record